AUAUUUCGAAGAGGAAAAGCGAGAUGCUUGCACGCGUAGAAUCAGGGGCUAAUAAAGUCUUCCGUCCACUCUUGCCCGUAAGGUAUACCAGUAAAAGACAGCCCUGCUGCUCAUUAUAUAAUUUGCACCAUAAUUACACAAGAUAAAUCUCAUUCACUUUAUACGCGCUUUUUGUCUUCCAGUUCAUGUCUUCGCUGCAUAUAUACCUUAUAAAAACUAACACUUCCCUCGGCAAUUUCACGUGCAUAAAAGCUGUGACGACGCAGAAGGAUGAAUGCAACCAAACGCUGUCGCAGAAUUAUUCAUUUUUAAAUUUCGUGACGAAGAAUUGGUCUAUGUAUUCGGCCAGCUACGAUCCAUUAGGAGAAGUUCGACCAGCUAAUUCGUUCACUUCGGUUGACAAGAUUUUGAAUACCUCAACUAACUAUACGUUAUACAAUAUUACAAUACCAUAUUGUGCUGUUGCGCAGAAGUCCAAACAGUACGGGAAGGAAUUUAUUCUGAAAAGCUGCGAACUUUGGGUCAACGACGGAUAUUUCCAGGACAACGAGUCUGUUUCUUCUGUGGCCUGUGGUAGCCUAUUUACAAAAUACUGUCCUGGCUCAGGUCAAGAUGUGUACAACGUGACUCAAUGCGGGCUCUUUAAUCAAACUGGCACAACAAUUUAAGCUGCUGCUUCAUUAGGGGUCCAAUAAAGAAAGAAAAAACAGCGAAAUAAGAGUGCUUGUGCAACUUUUGCUUA
Dermacentor silvarum is the source of this 742-nucleotide long non-coding RNA. RefSeq lists it as uncharacterized. The record is from RefSeq and is a predicted model, not a curated record. The transcript has 4 exons. Lineage: Eukaryota; Metazoa; Arthropoda; Arachnida; Ixodida; Ixodidae.